Molecule: unclassified non-coding RNA, 2547 nt
Filed under: Hevea brasiliensis (rubber tree)
Lineage: Eukaryota; Viridiplantae; Streptophyta; Magnoliopsida; Malpighiales; Euphorbiaceae
Source: RNAcentral
AUACCAUGUUAAAUUCGGAGAGAAUAUUGGAUAAAUUACGCAUUAAUUCAUUUUAAUCUAGGCUUAGAAUAAGUGAUUGAGUUGCUUUAUGCAUCAAAAUGACUAGUUAAUCUGAUAUUGCAACCCACUAUAUAUCGUCCUUUCAUUUUAUGUUUUCUCAAUGUGGGAUUCCUAGCACUUCUCAUACGCAUCCCCAUUGUAGGAGCUAAGGCAGGUUUCUAUAAAAUUCUUAUCGCAUAAUUUCCUGUAGCACAUCCUUGUUCUAGAGUGGCCUGCUGUCCUUUGGUUUGCCCGGGCUUCUACUACCUUUCUAGCAUAUGUGGCAACCCACACGAUACUUGUAUCUGUUUUUGCUUUAUGGGCAUAUUCCAUUUGUCUUUUGAUUAUCACGUGCUUUUCUUCUAUAAUGUUCCACGAGCUAGCCCUUAGCUGGUCAAGUUGUUUUCUCCUUGUCCAACAAUUAAUAUCUGCAUCUAAAAUGUCCCACUUAGUUUGAGUGGCUGUCACAUCUCUUGGUAUGUUUAUAUGAGUCCCUUGUUGACGUUCAGCCCACUCUUGAGGAACCUAUUAGACUGCUAUUUUGUCCAGUUUAAAAGUUAACCAAAUGUGAUUCUCUUUUAAAAUCAUGUGUUUGAAAACUCUAAAAUUGCUUUACUUUUCUCACUCCCGCCACAGAAACUAUGAUUUCCUCACACACUAUGGAAACCAUUUUUAUCAUUUUCCAUGCUCUCAUUUAAAUCUACUUAAUGAAGAUUUUUUUCUCUUAUCAAGCAUUCCUUGGAUAAGCUUUCCCUCAUCCAAUCCUAGUUAGGGGGUGAUGUAUCCGUUAACCUUCCUGUGCGGACAUCACCUUUUAGGGUCCUAUUAACAAUAAUCCCCUCAUUGCUAGUAUUCUACCCCAUGGCAUUUGUUCUAUAUAUGCAUAACUUUAUUUUUUCAAGAUGCCUAGUUAUGGGUUGCGCUCUUUCUCUCUGUUUAAUCUUGGUGAGGACUUGCUACGGUUGCAAUGCCCCUUCACAACACCCUGAUUUUCAGGCAGUUCCUUUUUAUUUUUGUGAUGAAGAAGAUUACAAGAUUAUGCAACAUUUUUUUAUAACUCAUAUCUUUGAACAAGAGUAUGCAUUUAAGAUAAGGAUUUAAAAUGUUUUUCCUUUCUGUUUCCUUUUGUUGCCUACUUAUGUUUAUUUGUUAUGAAGCUUUUCCUUGAUUGUAUUUUUUGUUGUUUGUCAUGUGAUAAAAAGUGAGUGCUUUUUUGGUUUCUAAAAUUAGUUUAUGAUUUACCUCAAAUUUAGUUUUAUCAGUAUGAGCUAAAUUGAAUGGCCAUUCACUGUUGAACGUUCCUUUUCUUUUUCUGUUUCCCCAUCUUUUCUUCUCUUUUCCCUUCAAUUUUUGUUGAGAAUAAUGAAGAAAUUUUCUCUCUGGUUUUUCUUGCUUUAUGUAUCACCACUAGGCAAGCUAUAGCAAUCAGUUUAACUCCCCUUGAUAUGACUAAAUGUGAUUGGAUACCUUUUGCACCAGUGAACUCUUAUCUUUUGCAUCAGUGAACUCUAUCCAAAGCAAUAUCCUUUAUCAAAUUGCAGGCAACAAUUUUCUGUUUUUUGUUUUUCUCCUCAUUUUGGAUUAAUUAAACCAUCAUUUUUAACUUAAAUUUGAAUGCGAAAGCUCUACAAGCAUGUAGUAGUAUCAGCAUUUUUUUUCCCUUGUAUGCAGAAUCAGAUGACGUUGAAGACUCUUCUGUUCCCCGAGAAAAGAUUCUGGGCUGCGUCUUGUCUUGCAUCUGUGUGGCACGUGUAAAUGAUAUUCUUGAACAGAAAAAGAACUUGACGGAUAUGUUGUUAGUGUCCCUCUCCCCUGGUUUUCAGUGGACAGUAAAAAUGUCAGCAUUUUCAUUAAUUAAAGAGCUUUGCUCGAGGCUCAGCAUUUCCAAUGGCUCUGAGGAAAUCUCUCUACAUGGUAGCAUAACUUCUUUAGUUCAGGAGUUGUUUCACUCUUUAACACCUAAAAUAGUGGAGUGCAUAAGCACUGUAAAGAUUGCCCAGGUUCACAUCACUGCUUCAGAGUGCCUUCUGGGUAUCACCAAGCUGUGCAGACAACUCGCAUCAGUGAACUGGACAAAUGUGGGGUUUAAAGAAGAGCUGCUUCAUCUAUGUGAGGUGGAAAAAAAUGAGGAGGCAAAGUCAUAUUUGAAAAGAUGCAUUGAAAUCUUUGAAAACCUGGAUUAAAAAUCUUUGGCAAAGUCAUAGUAUCGCUGAUACCAAAGGGAAAAGCCUUCCCCCUUACUAAGCUCAGAUUGAACCCAAGAAUCCUCACUCUCCAUCCACCGGGUCUACAAUCCACAAUGGUCCCAGGUUCACUUUAUUGCAAAAAGUUCGCUAAUAAGCGAUUUUCUGUAUCACUGAUUCAUAGGAUUUUUAAGUAGAAUCUAAUUUGGCUUACAUUUUUUAGCCUAAAUCCAUGUCAAAUGCCAACUGACCAUACAAAUUUUUAUCUCUAGCCCCACAUUUCAUAUAUAUAUAUGCCUAUAAUGUCUGAACUUACUAGUAAAUU